GUUGUGGCUCGCUCGGUGGUAGAGCACUUCCCUAGCAUGUGUGAGGCCCUGGGUUCAAUCCUCAGCACCACA
Molecule: transfer RNA, 72 nt
Filed under: Marmota monax (woodchuck)
Lineage: Eukaryota; Metazoa; Chordata; Mammalia; Rodentia; Sciuridae
Description: tRNA.Ala
Source: RNAcentral